RNAcentral lists this ribosomal RNA (403 nucleotides) under uncultured bacterium. RNAcentral describes it as "partial 16S ribosomal RNA". It matches the Rfam family "Bacterial small subunit ribosomal RNA", at positions 30 to 526 of the family's 1533-position model. The record is from RNAcentral.
AUCGAACGCUGGCGGCAGGCCUAACACAUGCAAGUCGAGCGAGCGGCGGACGGGUGAGUAAUGUAUGGGGACCGCCCGAUUGAGGGGGAUAACUACUGUAAACGGUGGCUACUACCGCAUACUGUCUGAUAUCCCAUCUGGGUUUAGCUAGUGGGUAAGUUAAUGGCUUACCUAGGCGACGAUCCCUAGCUGGUCUGAGAGGAUGAUCAGCCACACUGGGACUGAGACACGGCCCAGACUCCUACGGAGGCAGCAGUGGGGAAUAUUGCACAAUGGGGGCAAGCCUGAUACAGCCAUGCCGCGUGUAUGAAGAAGGCCCUAGGGUUGUAAAGUACUUUCAGUCGGGAGGCGUUACCGACAGAAGAAGCACCGGCUAACUCCGUGCCAGCCGCCGCGGUAAUUC